Molecule: long non-coding RNA, 4728 nt
Filed under: Triticum aestivum (bread wheat)
Lineage: Eukaryota; Viridiplantae; Streptophyta; Magnoliopsida; Poales; Poaceae
Description: long non-coding RNA (TAES_LNC019905)
Source: RNAcentral
ACAAACCGCGCGAAAGUGUUCCUGGAAAUCUCAGCCCAAAAAAGGACGUUUAGUAAUUCUAAAAGGGACUACAGGAUGAAAAACAAUACUUUUGGCAGUUAAAGUUUGAGAUUCGACGGUGCCGUAGAUCUGUUUGGUCAUCAGGUGUAACGAGCCACACCCAUGUCUAGCUAGAGUAGUGUGCUAGGCUCAGACUAGAGAAGAAACGGGGAACAAAGUGAUGAAAGAAUGAUCAUACCGAGGGAAUUCACUCAGAACUAACAAGAAUGAUAACGUGCUCCGACUGGAGCGGUUUAGGAACUGCUGGAAGGCUCUAGGGAAAUAAAGAUGGAAUGACUUCUAAUUUUUAGGUCCAUAUCAUUUGAAAUACGUGCACACAAACCCCGAGAAAGCGUUCCUGGAAAUCUCGGCCGAAAAAAGGAUGUUUAAUAAUUCUAAAAGGGACUACAGGAUGAAAAACAAUAGUUUUGGCAGUUAAAGUUUGAGAUUUGACGGUGCCGUAGAUCUGUUUGGUCAUCAGGGGUUACGAGCCACACCCAUGUCUAGCUAGAAUAGUGUGUUAGGCUCAGGCUAGAGAAGAAACGGGGAACAAAUUGAUGAAAGAAUGAUCAUACCGAGGGAAUUCACUCAGAACUAACAAGAAUGAUAACGUGCUCCGACUGGAGCAGUUUGGAAACUGUUGGUAGGCUCUAGGGGAAUAAAGAUGGAAUCACUUCUAAUUUUUAGGUCCGUAUGAUUUGAAAUACAUGCACACAAACCCCAAGAAAGCGUUCCUGGAAAUCUCGCCCCGAAAAACGACGUUUAGUAAUUCUAAAAGGGACUACAGGAUGAAAAACAAUACUUUUGGCAGUUAAAGUUUGAGAUUCGACGGUGCCGUAGAUCUGUUUGGUCAUCAGGUGUAACGAGCCACACCCAUGUCUAGCUAGAGUAGUGUGCUAGGCUCAGACUAGAGAAGAAACGGGGAACAAAGUGAUGAAAGAAUGAUCAUACCGAGGGAAUUCACUCAGAACUAACAAGAAUGAUAACAUGCUCCGACUGGAGCGGUUUAGGAAGUGCUGGAAGGCUCUAGGGAAAUAAAGAUGGAAUGACUUCUAAUUUUUAGGUCCAUAUCAUUUGAAAUACGUGCACACAAACCCCGAGAAAGCGUUCCUGGAAAUCUCGGCCGAAAAAAGGAUGUUUAAUAAUUCUAAAAGGGACUACAGGAUGAAAAACAAUAGUUUUGGCAGUUAAAGUUUGUGAUUCGAUGGUGCCGUAGAUCUGUUUGGUCAUCAGGUGUUACGAGCCACACCCAUGUCUAGCUAGAACAGUGUGUUAGGCUCAGGCUAGAGCAGAAACGGGGAACAAACUUAUGAAAGAAUGAUCAUACCGAGGGAAUUCACUCAGAACUAACAAGAAUGAUAACGUGCUCCAACUGGAGCGGUUUAGGAACUGCUGGAAGGCUCUAGGGGAAUAAAGAUGGAAUGACUUCAAAUUUUUAGGUCCGUAUGAUUUGAAAUACUUGCACACAAACCGCUAGAAAGCGUUCCUGGAAAUCUCAGCCCAAAAAAGGACGUUUAGUAAUUCUAAAAGGGACUACAGGAUGAAAAACAAUAGUUCUGGCAGUUAAAGUUUGAGCUUCGAUAAUGUCGUAGAUCCGUUUGGUCAUCAGGUGUAACGAGCCACACCCAUUUCUAGCUAGAGUAGUGUGCUAGGCUCAGACUAGAGAAGAAAUGGGCAACAAACUAAUGAAAGAAUGAUCAUACCGAGGGAAUUCACUCAGAACUAACAAGAAUGAUAACGUGCUCCGACUGGAGCGGUUUAGGAACUGCUGGAAGGCUCUAGGGGAAUAAAGAAGGAAUGACUUCUAAUUUUUAGGUCCGUAUGAUUUGAAAUGUGUGCACACAAACCCCGAGAAAGCAUUCCUGGAAAUCUCGGCCCAAAAAAGGACGUUUAGUAAUUCUAAAAGGGACUACAGGAUGAAAAACAAUAGUUUUGGCAGUUAAAGUUUGAGAUUCGAUAAUGCCGUAGAUCCGUUUGGUCAUCAGGUGUAACGAGCCACACCCAUGUCUGGUUAGAGUAGUGUGCUAGGCUCAGACUAGAUAAGAAACGGGGAACAAACUGAUGAAAGAAUGAUCAUACCGAGCGAAUUCACUCAGAACUAACAAGAAUGAUAACAUGCUCCGACUGGAGCGGUUUAGGAACUGCUGGAAGGCUCUAGGGGAAUAAAGAUGGAAUGACUUCUAAUUUUUAGGUCCGUAUGAUUUGAAAUACUUGCACACAAACCACGCGAAAGCGUUCCUGGAAAUCUCAGCCCAAAAAAGGACGUUUAGUAAUUCUAAAAGGGACUACAGGAUGAAAAACAAUAGUUUUGGCAGUUAAAGUUUGAGAUUCGACAGUGCCGUAGAUCCGUUUGGUCAUCAGGUAUUACGAGCCACACCCAUGUCUAGCUAGAAUAGUGUGCUAGGCUCAGGCUAGAGAAGAAACGGGGAACAAACUGAUGAAAGAAUGAUCAAACCGAGGGAAUUCACUCAGAACUAACAAUAAUGAUAACGUGCUCCGACUGGUGCGGUUUAGGAACUGCUGGAAGGCUCUAGGGGAAUAAAGAUGGAAUGACUUCUAAUUUUUAGGUCCGUAUGAUUUGAAAUACUUGCACACAAACCGCGCGAAAGCGUUCCUGGAAAUCUCAGCCCAAAAAAGGACGUUUAGUAAUUUUAAAAGGGACUAUAGGAUGAAAAACAAUAGUUUUGGCAAUUAAAGUUUGAGAUUCGACGGUGUCGUAGAUCCGUUUGGUCAUCAGGUGUUACGAGCCACACCCAUGUCUAGCUAGAAUAGUAUGUCAGGCUCAGGUUAGAGUAGAAACGGGGAACAAACUGAUGAAAGAAUGAUCAUACCAAGGGAAUUCACUCAGAACUAUCAAGAAUGAUAACGUGCUCCGACUGGAGUGAUUUAGGAACUGCUGGAAGGCUCUAGGGGAAUAAAGAUGGAAUGACUUCUAAUUUUUACGUCCGUAUGAUUUGAAAUACUUGCACACAAAUCACGCAAAAGCGUUCCUGGAAAUCUCAGCCUAAAAAAGGACGUUUAGUAAUUCUAAAAGGGACUACAGGAUGAAAAACAAUAGUUUGGGCAGUUAAAAUUUGAGAUUCGACGGUGCCGUAGAUCCGUUUGGUCAUCAGGUGUUACGAGCGACACCCUUGUCUAGCUAGAAUAGUGUGUUAGGCUCAGACUAGAGAAGAAACGGGGAACAAAGUGAUGAAAGAAUGAUCAUACCGAGGGAAUUCACUCAGAACUAACAAGAAUGAUAACGUGCUCCGACUGGAGCGGUUUAGUAACUGCUGGAAGGCUCUAGGGGAAUGAAGAUGGAAUGACUUCUAAUUUUUAGGUCCGUAUGAUUUGAAAUACAUGCACACAAACCCUGAGAAAGCGUUCCUGGAAAUCUCGGUCGAAAAAAGGAUGUUUAAUAAUUCUAAAAGGGACUACCGGAUGAAAAACAAUAGUUUUGGCAGUUAAAGUUUGUGAUUCGAUGGUGCCGUAGAUCUGUUUGGUCAUCAGGUGUUACGAGCCACACCCAUGUCUAUCUAGAAUAGUGUGUUAGGCUCAGGCUAGAGCAGAAACGGGGAACAGACUUAUGAAAGAAUGAUCAUACCGAGGGAAUUCACUCAGAACUAACAAGAAUGAUAACGUGCUCCGACUGGCGCGGUUUAGGAACUGCUGGAAGGCUCUAGGGGAAUAAAGAUGGAAAGACUUCUAAUUUUUAGGUCCGUAUGAUUUGAAAUACUUGCACACAAACCGCACGAAAGCGUUCCUGGAAAUCUCAGCCUAAAAAGGAUGUUUAGUAAUUCUAAAAGGGACUACAAGAUGAAAAAUAAUAGUUUGGGCAGUUAAAAUUUGAGAUUCGACGAUGCCGUAGAUCCGUUUGGUCAUCAGGUGUUAUGAGCCACACCCAUGUCUAGCUAGAAUAGUGUGUUAGGCUCAGGCUAGAGAAGAAACGGGGAACAAACUGAUGAAAGAAUGAUCAUACCGAGGGAAUUCACUCAGAACUAACAAGAAUGAUAACGUGCUCCGACUGGAGCAGUUUAGAAACUGCUGGAAGGCUCUAAUGGAAUAAAGAUGGAAUGCCUUCAAAUUUCUAGGUCCGUAUGAUUUGAAAUACUUGCACACAAACCGCUCGAAAGCGUUCCUGGAAAUCUCAGCCCAAAAAAGGACGUUUAGUAAUUCUAAAAGGGACUACAGGAUGAAAAACAAUAGUUUUGGCAGUUAAAGUUUGAGAUUCGAUGGUGCCGUAGAUCCGUUUGGUCAUCAGGUGUAACGAGCCACACACAUGUCUAGCUAGAGUAGUGUGCUAGGCUCAGACUAGAGAAGAAACGGGGAACAAAGUGAUGAAAGAAUGAUCAUACCGAGGGAAUUCACUCAGAACUUACAAGAAUGAUAACGUGCUCCGACUGGAGCGCUUUAGUAACUGCUGGAAGGCUCUAGGCGAAUAAAGAUGGAAUGACUUCUAAUUUUUAGGUCCGUAUGAUUUGAAAUACUUGCACACAAACCACGCAAAACCGUUCCUAGAAAUCUCGGUCGAAAAAAGGACGUUUAGUAAUUCUAAAAGGGACUACAGGAUGAAAAACAAUAGUUUUGGCAGUUAAAGUUUGAGAUUCGAUGGUGCCGUAGAUCCGUUUGGUCAUCAGGUGUUACGAGCCACACCCAUGUCUAGCUAGAGUAGUGUGCUAGGUUCAGACUAGAGAAGAAACGGGGAACAAA